This 63-nucleotide transfer RNA is filed under the name Cyamophila willieti. RNAcentral's name for it is "tRNA-Pro". It matches the Rfam family "tRNA". From Rfam's summary of the family: Transfer RNA (tRNA) molecules are approximately 80 nucleotides in length. Their secondary structure includes four short double-helical elements and three loops (D, anti-codon, and T loops). Further hydrogen bonds mediate the characteristic L-shaped molecular structure. tRNAs have two regions of fundamental functional importance: the anti-codon, which is responsible for specific mRNA codon recognition, and the 3' end, to which the tRNAs corresponding amino acid is attached (by aminoacyl-tRNA synthetases). tRNAs cope with the degeneracy of the genetic code in two manners: having more than one tRNA (with a specific anti-codon) for a particular amino acid; and 'wobble' base-pairing, i.e. permitting non-standard base-pairing at the 3rd anti-codon position. Lineage: Eukaryota; Metazoa; Arthropoda; Insecta; Hemiptera; Psyllidae. The record is from RNAcentral.
CAGUAAAUAGUUUAAAUAAAAUAUUAGUUUUGGAGACUAAAGUUGUGGGAUCUAUUUUACUGA